Molecule: ribosomal RNA, 239 nt
Filed under: uncultured Lactobacillus sp.
Lineage: Bacteria; Bacillati; Bacillota; Bacilli; Lactobacillales; Lactobacillaceae
Description: partial 16S ribosomal RNA
Rfam family: Bacterial small subunit ribosomal RNA
Source: RNAcentral
UAACCUGCCCAAGAGAUCGGGAUAACACCUGGAAACAGAUGCUAAUACCGGAUAACAACAGAUGAUGCCUAUCAACUGUUUAAAAGAUGGUUCUGCUAUCACUCUUGGAUGGACCUGCGGUGCAUUAGCUAGUUGGUAGGGUAACGGCCUACCAAGGCGAUGAUGCAUAGCCGAGUUGAGNGACUGAUCGGCCACAUUGGGACUGAGACACGGCCCAAACUCCUACGGGAGGCAGCAGC